Molecule: ribosomal RNA, 396 nt
Filed under: uncultured bacterium
Lineage: Bacteria
Description: partial 16S ribosomal RNA
Rfam family: Bacterial small subunit ribosomal RNA
Source: RNAcentral
UUACGUAGGUGGCAAGCGAUUUCCGGAAUUCUUAGGCGUAAAGCGCAUGUAGGAGGUGCCUUUAGACAGUCGUGAAACUGCAGGGACUAAUCCCGUAUGGCGAUGGAAACUGCGGCACUUGAGUGCAGGAGAGAUAACGGGAACUCCGAGUGUAGCGGUGAAAUGCGUAGAUAUUGGGAAGAACACCGGUGGCGAAGGCGCCUUUCUGGACUGUGUCUGACGCUGAGAUGCGAAAGCCAGGGUAGCGAACGGGAUUAGAUACCCCUGUAGUCCUGGCCGUAAACGAUGGGUACUAGGUGUGGGAUGUAUCGACCCCUUCCUUGCCGGAUUUAACGCAAUAAGUCCCCCGCCUGGGGAGUACGGCCGCAAGGCGUAAACUCAAAGGAAUUGACGGGG